CCUACGGGAGGCAGCAGUGAGGAAUAUUGGUCAAUGGGCGCGAGCCUGAACCAGCCAAGUAGCGUGAGGGAUGACUGCCCUACGGGUUGUAAACUUCUUUUAUAAGGGAAUAAAGUGCUUCACGUGUGCCUUUUUGUAUGUAUUUUAUGAAUAAGGAUCGGCUAACUCCGUGCCAGCAGCCGCGGUAAUACGGAGGAUCCGAGCGUUAUCCGGAUUUAUUGGGUUUAAAGGGAGCGUAGAGGGGUUGUUAAGUCAGUUGUGAAAGUUUUCGGCUCAACCGUAAAAUUGCAAUUGAUACUGGCGGCCUUGAGUACAGUUGAGGUAGGCGGAAUUCG
This 335-nucleotide ribosomal RNA is filed under the name uncultured bacterium. RNAcentral describes it as "partial 16S ribosomal RNA". It matches the Rfam family "Bacterial small subunit ribosomal RNA", at positions 338 to 670 of the family's 1533-position model. The record is from RNAcentral.